Nicotiana tabacum (common tobacco) is the source of this 260-nucleotide long non-coding RNA. RefSeq lists it as uncharacterized. The record is from RefSeq and is a predicted model, not a curated record. Lineage: Eukaryota; Viridiplantae; Streptophyta; Magnoliopsida; Solanales; Solanaceae.
CCAAAAUGCUGGUGCCAUAUUGAGAAAUCUUCAACUCUCUCGUCAAAGUAAUGACCUUUCUGGUGAUAAAGAUGCUAUACAUGCUUUCAGAACUCUGUACAUGAUUGGUGACAAUCCAUUUGUCGACAUAAAAGGUGCACGGCAGGCAGGGCAUCCUUGGUUUUCAAUUUUGACGAGGACUGGUGUUUUCAAAGAAAGAGGAAAUCAUGCAGAAUUUCCUGCUGAUCUAGUGGUCGACACUGUUGAAGAGGCAGUGGAUU